GACGAACCGUGCGAACGUUGUUCGGAAUCACUGGGCUUAAAGGGCGCGUAGGCGGGUUAGCAAGUCCGGGGUGAAAUCUUUCGGCUCAACCGGAAAAGUGCCUUGGAUACUGCUGACCUGGAGUGAGGUAGGGGCCGCGGGAACUUCCGGUGGAGCGGUGAAAUGCGUUGAUAUCGGAAGGAACGCCGGUGGCGAAAGCGCGCGGCUGGCCCUCAACUGACGCUGAGGCGCGAAAGCUAGGGGAGCAAACGG
Molecule: ribosomal RNA, 252 nt
Filed under: uncultured bacterium
Lineage: Bacteria
Description: partial 16S ribosomal RNA
Rfam family: Bacterial small subunit ribosomal RNA
Source: RNAcentral